This 504-nucleotide ribosomal RNA is filed under the name uncultured bacterium. RNAcentral's name for it is "partial 16S ribosomal RNA". It matches the Rfam family "Bacterial small subunit ribosomal RNA", at positions 28 to 507 of the family's 1533-position model. The record is from RNAcentral.
GACGAACGCUGGCGGCGUGCCUAAUACAUGCAAGUAGAACGCACAGUUUAUACCGUAGCUUGCUACACCAUAGACUGUGAGUUGCGAACGGGUGAGUAACGCGUAGGUAACCUGCCUGGUAGCGGGGGAUAACUAUUGGAAACGAUAGCUAUACCGCAUAAUAUUAAUUAUUGCAUGAUAAUUAAUUGAAAGGUGCAAUUGCACCACUACCAGAUGGACCUGCGUUGUAUUAGCUAGUAGGUGAGGUAACGGCUCACCUAGGCGACGAUACAUAGCCGACCUGAGAGGGUGAUCGGCCACACUGGGACUGAGACACGGCCCAGACUCCUACGGGAGGCAGCAGUAGGGAAUCUUCGGCAAUGGACGAAAGUCUGACCGAGCAACGCCGCGUGAGUGAAGAAGGUUUUCGGAUCGUAAAGCUCUGUUGUAAGAGAAGAACGGGUGUGAGAGUGGAAAGUUCACACUGUGACGGUAUCUUACCAGAAAGGGACGGCUAACUACGUG